This 1703-nucleotide long non-coding RNA is filed under the name Triticum aestivum (bread wheat). RNAcentral's name for it is "long non-coding RNA (TAES_LNC021382)". The record is from RNAcentral. Lineage: Eukaryota; Viridiplantae; Streptophyta; Magnoliopsida; Poales; Poaceae.
UUAUCCAUUUUCAUUUCUUCUAGCCAUGUUCGUCUCAUUUCUUCCCCAAAUCUGGCAGGGAUAGGCCACCGCUGCCGCGAUUGCAGCCGGAGGCGAAGGGCGGGAGCGCGGGAUCCGCAUCUCGUCGCCGGCGCAGGUACAGUACACCCGCCUUUUUUGCCUCGCAUCUUCUGCUUCUCCAUUUUUCCCCUGCCGUGGUCGGGAUCUUCCGUAAUUGGCUCGCCGAAGAGGGGUUCUAGGAUUUCCAGUGGAUGUCCAGUGAGUACGAGGUAGCUCGUGAAAGGCAUCGCCCGUGACUACCUGGUCAACUCCGGUGAUUUGGGGAGUUCCUGUUUCGUCAGGGGGAGUCGAGGGUGCGUGUUCUAGGGGAUACGGGUUUCAUGGCGAUUCACCUCCAUAUCAUGCAGAUUCAGCGAGGUAUUCCGUCAUGUUGCCUCCGGCCAAACCGUCUGAUCUGGCAUGGCGAUUUUUUGAUUUUUUUUAGCGGCGAUUUGAGUUGGAAUAGAAGGAAGGGAGUACAUAAGAGUACUGAGAGGAUAGUUCUGAUGUUUUUGCUCAACCCUCUCAAAAUACAUCCGUGUGGUUUCUCUGUUUUCUCAUAAGUGCAUGCAUAUAUGUAACCAGUUGGCUAGUUUGUUCUCGUAGUUGCACAGAAACACAAAUGUAGUUGGAUCACACAUAUACAUAUCUCAGUUGGCUAGCCAACUUAUGGAGUUGCACAGUGAUGGCUAACCAAUUGCCUCAGAUGGAUACACUGUGUAAACCAUAUUCAAACAGUAUGUGUGUUUUUUGAUUGCACACUUAUGGGUGCUCUGUUGUUAAGGGUGUGCGUUCAUAUACGAGUUUGCAAAAUCAAAGCAGUACAUAUCCUAGUUGGCUUAGUCACACUUAUGCAGUUGUACAUGAAAGGGCUAUGUAGUUGCAUGGCUGGAGGCUAGUUUAGUUAUGGCUCAGAUGCCUAAAUCAUGAUUAGUUAGUGUGUAUGCAGAUUUUUUGGUUGCACACUCAUGUCUGCCCUGUUGGCCAUACAGUGCUUCAAGUUGCACACAUUUUGUUUUGUUUUGUAGGUGUGCUUUGAAAAAUCAACAUUACGUGUUUAAAUUAUGGCAUUACUUUGAUAUCAAUUUUCUCCUCAUUUUUCUCUUUUAUACAUAUGGUUCCUUUGACUAAUUUGUUCGUUUGCUUUUUUUAACAGACCAAAAAUGGUUGUAGAAGGAGAUGCGGCUCCUAGUGAAGGAGAGGUUGAUAACCCACAAGUAUAGGGGAUCGCAACAAUUUUCGAGGGUAGAGUAUUCAACCCAAAUUUAUUGAUUCGACACAAGGGGAGCCAAAGAAUAUUCUCCAGUAUUAGCAGCUGAGUUGUCAAUUCAACCACACCUGGAAACUUAAUAUCUGCAGCAAAGAGUUUAGUAGCAAAGUAGUAUGAUAGUAGUGGUAACGGUAGCAAAAGGUAAAAGUAGAAAAAGUAGUGUUUUGGUAUUUUGUAGUGAUGAUAGCAAUAGCAACGGAAAAGUAAAUAAGCGAAGAACAAUAUAUGGAAAGCUCGUAGGCAAUGGAUCGAUGAUGGAGAAUUAUGCCGGAUGCGGUCCAUCAUGUAACAGUCAUAACCUAGGGUGACACAGAACUAGCUCUAGUUCAUUGAUAUAAUGUAGGCAUGUAUUCCGAAUAUAGUCAUACAUGCUUAUGGAAAAGAACUUGCAUGA